Molecule: ribosomal RNA, 1392 nt
Filed under: uncultured bacterium
Lineage: Bacteria
Description: bacterial SSU rRNA
Rfam family: Bacterial small subunit ribosomal RNA
Source: RNAcentral
AGAGUUUGAUCCUGGCUCAGGAUGAACGCUGGCGGCGUGCCUAACACAUGCAAGUCGAGCGAAGCAUACAGAAUGAAGUUUUCGGAUGGAUUUCUGUAUGACUGAGCGGCGGACGGGUGAGUAACGCGUGGGUAACCUGCCUUAUACAGGGGGAUAACAGUUAGAAAUGACUGCUAAUACCGCAUAAGCGCACAGUACCGCAUGGCAGUGUGUGAAAAACUCCGGUGGUAUAAGAUGGACCCGCGUCUGAUUAGCCAGUUGGCGGGGUAACGGCCCACCAAAGCGACGAUCAGUAGCCGACCUGAGAGGGUGACCGGCCACAUUGGGACUGAGACACGGCCCAAACUCCUACGGGAGGCAGCAGUGGGGAAUAUUGCACAAUGGGGGAAACCCUGAUGCAGCAACGCCGCGUGAGUGAAGAAGUAUUUCGGUAUGUAAAGCUCUAUCAGCAGGGAAGAAGAUGACGGUACCUGAUUAAGAAGCCCCGGCUAACUACGUGCCAGCAGCCGCGGUAAUACGUAGGGGGCAAGCGUUAUCCGGAUUUACUGGGUGUAAAGGGAGCGUAGACGGCGCGGCAAGUCUGAAGUGAAAGGCAGGGGCUUAACCCCUGAACUGCUUUGGAAACUGCCAUGCUAGAGUGCUGGAGAGGUAAGUGGAAUUCCUAGUGUAGCGGUGAAAUGCGUAGAUAUUAGGAGGAACACCAGUGGCGAAGGCGGCUUACUGGACAGUAACUGACGUUGAGGCUCGAAAGCGUGGGGAGCAAACAGGAUUAGAUACCCUGGUAGUCCACGCCGUAAACGAUGAAUACUAGGUGUUGGUGGGCAAAGCCCAUCCCGUGCCGCCGCAAACACAAUAAGUAUUCCCACCUGGGGAGGGCGUUCGCAAGAAUGAACUCAAAGGAAUUGACGGGGACCCGCACAAGCGGUGUAGCAUGUGGUUUAAUCCGAAGCAACGCGAAGAACCUUACCCGGCCUUGACAUCCCGAUGAAUGUACAGUAAUGUGUACAGGACUUCGGUACAUCGGAGACAGGUGGUGCAUGGUUGUCGUCAGCUCGUGUCGUGAGAUGUUGGGUUAAGUCCCGCAACAAGCGCAACCCCUGCCCUCAGUAGCCAGCAGGUGAAGCUGGGAACUCUGAGGGGACUGCCCGGGAUAACCGGGAGGAAGGCGGGGAUGACGUCAAAUCAUCAUGCCCCUUAUGGCCGGGGCUACACACGUGCUACAAUGGCGGAAACAGAGGGAGGCAGCCCCGUGAGGGUGAGCGAACCCCAAAAAUACCGCCUCAGUUCGGAUUGUAGUCUGCAACCCGACUACAUGAAGCCGGAAUCGCUAGUAAUCGCGAAUCAGAAUGUCGCGGUGAAUACGUUCCCGGGCCUUGCACUCACCGCCCGUCA